CUGAGGUGUCGCAACCAGGUUAAAUACUGUGUUUUCUCCAAAUAAGGAAGCCACGUAAGCAUUCAUUUUAUCUAAGGAAAUAGAUACGUCUUUUGGUCAAGAAACGUUACCUAAAAUAUGGCACCUUCUCACGCACACGGCUUUAUGCUAUACAGACAUGACUUUUGGAUUGCAUAAGUUGUGUAGACCGAAUAUACAGCACUCCGAUCAACAAACCCCUCUUCAUUGCCAUCAUCAUAUUGUUGGAUGCCAAGCGGUGUAUACUCUCUAACACGUGCCUUAUAAGUCGUUGAUGGAGUGUAUAUCGAUGAAUGCAAGUAUCUUCUGAUCGGAUUCUUUUUUAAUCACACUAGGAGUACCUUUUUUUUAAUUUUUUCCACAUUUUCAGUUGCAGAAUCAUCAAUUGUGCGAAGGUGAAAAAGAAAAGCAAAAAUUGAAUUCACCUUUUCAGUUUCGUGAAAAAAUGAAAGUAAUCCGUAACAAGGUUCAUGUUUGCCCAGUGUUCCGCUCUAUCCCAGAUAUUACUUUGGGACACCUCUGGCUCUGAUGGAAAACAUUAUCAGUAAUCUCUUCGGACAAUAUAUUUACUCUCACGAUUUACGCAAAAAUAUGAAGCCACGACAUCUAUUGGCAACACUUAACUCAUCGCGACACCCGUUCAUCUAUUUACAGUUUAGAUAUGAAGAGACACAUCCGGAAUGGGAAUAUAUUUGGAUGUAGAUUUUGUCAAAGAUGUGCUUCAAUCGCCGCGUUGUUUAAAAUGCAAGUGAGUCGUCUUACAGUUGCCUAAUAUUUUGGGAACAUGUCAAAAAGAUCUCUAAAGUUUAGACAUCUUCUCCAAAGAAAAAACACAUCAACUUUCUUUCUAACCAGUUUUAGGUAAGUUCUCAAUAUUCAAUAUUGUGAUUAAAUGAUUUGCUAACAAGAUUGAAUUAUGUGACAUUCAUUUAUGAACAUCAUGCUGUUUUUUCACCGGACAUUGUUGGAUCAACAAUGUAUCAUCGUAGACUUGAAGAAAAAAUUGUUUCGGCAAAUCAGCACCAGUGUCAGAAAGUAGAGUAGGAAUUCUCCCAAGGGAUGAUUAUCGUUAGAACUUAAUUAAUUCUAUCAUAUUACUGGAGAACUAUUUUUUUGUUUUCUUUUUUUUUUAUCGGAAAUCCACUUUUUGUUAUACAACGGUAACAAGGGCGUAGCAUAUGAGACUAUAUAUGCACAGAGAUAUCACAUUUAGUACACUACUAGCGCUAGCGAAGCUACUACCGGUAAGCUCCAGAGGUGAAGAGAAGGCGCAGACUGACUACGCUAAUAUAUACACCAACUAGACGUCUGGACUGGAUGCAAGCGGUUGGAAAUAUUGGCUUAUAUGAGAAGGGAAGAGAACUACAAUGUGGAUUUUGGGUUUACAAAUGCAAUAAGGAAAUUUUGGAAGAAAUUUUGCAAUAAUUAUCAAGGAAGGAUUAAGAAGUUGGGACUCCAAAAGUUCGAACUUUGGUAAUCUUAGAACACCGGCUAUUUAAUUCAUUGUGCCGACCAAAGGGAAAUUAGUUUUCUUUUUUCUUGGUCGAAAAGAAAAUUUGGAUGAGCAAGCAACAAGGAAAAUGCCAUGUGAACCAAAGAACUGUACUUAUUUCACAAAUUCAGACACCUUGCCCGUGCAAAUGCACGGGCAUGAAAGACCUUGUUACAUAGGAAUAAGUCUCUAUUUAUAGGCUAGAGUAUCAACCCUGGUUACAUAUAGAUGGGCCGCACAAUGGGUCAAAGGCCCUACAAUACUCCCCCUUUGUUGUCCAAUAGUAGUGCUUCAUAUGUAGUGCUUCAGAUAUAAUGCUUUCGAUGUAGCACUUCAGAUGUAGCUCUUGAGAUCUAG
Papaver somniferum (opium poppy) is the source of this 1867-nucleotide long non-coding RNA. RefSeq lists it as uncharacterized. NCBI's taxonomy places the organism in Eukaryota, Viridiplantae, Streptophyta, Magnoliopsida, Ranunculales, Papaveraceae. The record is from RefSeq and is a predicted model, not a curated record. The transcript is spliced from 4 exons.